Molecule: ribosomal RNA, 481 nt
Filed under: uncultured bacterium
Lineage: Bacteria
Description: partial 16S ribosomal RNA
Rfam family: Bacterial small subunit ribosomal RNA
Source: RNAcentral
GACGAACGCUGGCGGCGUGCUUAACACAUGCAAGUCGAGCGGAAAGGCCACUUCGGUGGUACUCGAGCGGCGAACGGGUGAGUAACACGUGAGUAAUCUGCCCCUGGCUUUGGGAUAGCCACCGGAAACGGUGAUUAAUACCGGAUACGACCACUUCUCGCAUGGGAUGGGGGUGGAAAGUUUUUUCGGCCAGGGGUGUGCUCGCGGCCUAUCAGCUUGAUGGUGAGGUAAUGGCUCACCAUGGCUUCGGCGGGUAGCCGGCCUGAGAGGGUGACCGGUCACACUGGGACUGGGACACGGCCCAGACUCCUACGGGAGGCAGCAGUGGGGAAUAUUGGACAAUGGGCGGAAGCCUGAUCCAGCAACGCCGCGUGAGGGAUGACGGCCUUCGGGUUGUAAACCUCUUUCAGCAGGGACGAAGCGCAAGUGACGGUACCUGCAGAAGAAGCACCGGCCAACUACGUGCCAGCCGCCGCGGUAA